RNAcentral lists this long non-coding RNA (286 nucleotides) under Elaeis guineensis (African oil palm). Its description in RNAcentral is "long non-coding RNA (EGUI_LNC002071)". The record is from RNAcentral. Lineage: Eukaryota; Viridiplantae; Streptophyta; Magnoliopsida; Arecales; Arecaceae.
GGUGUCAUCCGAAUCUGAUUAUAGCCCACAAAGGCAUCCAUGAAGCUUAAGAGUCGGUGUUUCGAAGUCGCAUCAACUAGUUGAUUGAUUUUUAGCAAAGAAAAACUAUCCUUCGGAUAAGCUUCAUUUAGAUUUGUAUAGUCGAUGUAGAUUCUCUAUUUCUUGUUAGCUUUUCUCACCAUCACUACAUUGACAAGCCAAUCGAGAUAAUUAGCUUCUCUGAUGAAGCCAGCCGUGAGGAGCUUGUCGACCUCUUCGUCGAUAACCUUAUGCCUUUCAGGGGUAA